This 253-nucleotide unclassified non-coding RNA is filed under the name uncultured Nitriliruptoraceae bacterium. Its description in RNAcentral is "contains 16S-23S intergenic spacer region". It matches the Rfam family "Bacterial small subunit ribosomal RNA", at positions 524 to 776 of the family's 1533-position model. Lineage: Bacteria; Bacillati; Actinomycetota; Nitriliruptoria; Nitriliruptorales; Nitriliruptoraceae. The record is from RNAcentral.
UACGUAGGGGGCGAGCGUUGUCCGGAAUCAUUGGGCGUAAAGCGCGCGUAGGCGGUCCAGUAAGUCGACUGUGAAAUCCCGUGGCUCAACUGCGGAACUGCAGUCGAUACUGCUGGACUUGAGGAAGGUAGAGGAGAGUGGAAUUCCCGGUGUAGCGGUGGAAUGCGCAGAUAUCGGGAGGAACACCGAUGGCGAAGGCAGCUCUCUGGGCCUUUCCUGACGCUGAGGUGCGAAAGCGUGGGGAGCGAACAGG